Molecule: ribosomal RNA, 109 nt
Filed under: Alteromonas hispanica
Lineage: Bacteria; Pseudomonadati; Pseudomonadota; Gammaproteobacteria; Alteromonadales; Alteromonadaceae
Description: partial 23S ribosomal RNA
Rfam family: Bacterial large subunit ribosomal RNA
Source: RNAcentral
GUUGUAUGGUUAAGUGACGAAGCGUAUACGGUGGAUGCCUUGGCAGUUAGAGGCGAUGAAGGACGUGUAAGUCUGCGAAAAGCUGUGGUGAGCCGACAAAAUGCAUUUG